GAUGAACGCUGGCGGCGUGCCUAAUACAUGCAAGUCGAGCGAACAGACGAGGAGCUUGCUCCUCUGAUGUUAGCGGCGGACGGGUGAGUAACACGUGGAUAACCUACCUAUAAGACUGGGAUAACUUCGGGAAACCGGAGCUAAUACCGGAUAAUAUGUUGAACCGCAUGGUUCAACAGUGAAAGACGGUCUUGCUGUCACUUAUAGAUGGAUCCGCGCUGCAUUAGCUAGUUGGUAAGGUAACGGCUUACCAAGGCAACGAUGCAUAGCCGACCUGAGAGGGUGAUCGGCCACACUGGAACUGAGACACGGUCCAGACUCCUACGGGAGGCAGCAGUAGGGAAUCUUCCGCAAUGGGCGAAAGCCUGACGGAGCAACGCCGCGUGAGUGAAGAAGGUCUUCGGAUCGUAAAACUCUGUUAUUAGGGAAGAACAAAUGUGUAAGUAACUAUGCACAUCUUGACGGUACCUAAUCAGAAAGCCACGGCUAACUACGUG
Molecule: ribosomal RNA, 497 nt
Filed under: uncultured bacterium
Lineage: Bacteria
Description: partial 16S ribosomal RNA
Rfam family: Bacterial small subunit ribosomal RNA
Source: RNAcentral